Molecule: long non-coding RNA, 1160 nt
Organism: Serinus canaria (Common canary)
Lineage: Eukaryota; Metazoa; Chordata; Aves; Passeriformes; Fringillidae
Exons: 3
Source: RefSeq, a predicted model, not a curated record
GUGCUCCGUGCUCGGGGCCGGCGGGGAAGGGCGCCGGUUCCACUUUGCGGAGCGAAAUGUGUUGAUAACACAUACAAACUCCGGGCAAACCGGGAUUCGACUACAUUUUCCUUGAAGGGCUGGCACCUGGGGUGGUGCAUCGGCCUCUGGCACAGCAGACUCUCCCCGGGGUGAAGGAGAUGAGACCCCCGCUCCAUCCAAGUGCCAGUACCCAGCUCUGCUUUUAUCCUGCGAUCCACGUAAAACUGGCAGGAGCAUGAGCCGAGUGGAGUUUAUCUGUCCCAGGUGCUGUCAGACUCAUGGUGGCGAUGCCCAAGGCUCCAGGCGCUCCCGGCGGUACAAAACACGGCAAUAAGCAGGUCGUAUCUCAGCCUCUGUUUUACAGGCUGCCCUGCCCGGAUAUCUCGGAGCAGCACUGGGACAAAGCCAACACUACCACCAAAGGGGAAACUGAGGCACCAAGCUUUUCAUGGGAGUGAAAUGCGGCGUGCCCUCGCCCCUGAGUCAGCCUGGGCCAGCCCUGGAGGGCUCUGCGUGCUCCUGGGAGCGGGAUGUGCUUAACACGGCCCCUGUGCCCAGACUUCUCCCGUGAGAUAACACCCAUCUCCCAGACAGGAGGGCGGACCGACCUCAGGAACAGCGCGAAGGACGCGGUGACAGCGAAAUAGCGCCCGCUCCGCAAACUAUCACGCCGUCAUCCCCGCGGGCAGCUCCACCACUGCCUCUUCCUUACAAAUGAUCGUAUGCUGUCCCUCUGAGGCCACCAGCACCUUUUAGGCCAAGGGACCAAGAACUGGACCAGGGCUUCAGGUCUAUGUUGAACCAGAGAAAAAUCACUAAAUAGUGAUUUUCAGCUAACACUUUCAGAGUAAUCAGAGAUGCCAAAAGAUGCUUGAGAAUAAGAUGUGCAACUGAUUAUUCCGAACCUGGAGAAAACUGCAAGAGAUUACAGCGAAGGGAGAGGCCUACACCAAGGGUAUGGAACCAGGAGACUCCAUGAAGGUGGGAUCAGAGGCACAAACUGUGCUGAUCUAAGAAUCCAGGACUCAUCCCACAGGUGUUGCUACAUUUGGAAGGUGCAACAGCUGAUGCUUUUUAAUGGUGUGUGAUGAAAUAUAUUAUUUUAUGAAGAUCUUUUACAGCAUCUUGCCAAAGGUAUC